UUGAACGCUGGCGGCAUGCUUUACACAUGCAAGUCGAACGGUAACAGGCCUUCGGGUGCUGACGAGUGGCGAACGGGUGAGUAAUGCAUCGGAACGUACCCAGAGGUGGGGGAUAACGCAGCGAAAGCUGUGCUAAUACUGCAUGUGAUCUGAGGAUGAAAGCGGGGGACCGAGCAGCAAUGUUUGGCCUCGCGCCCUUGGAGCGGCCGAUGUCGGAUUAGCUAGUUGGUGGGGUAAAGGCCUACCAAGGCGACGAUCCGUAGCUGGUCUGAGAGGACGACCAGCCACACUGGGACUGAGACACGGCCCAGACUCCUACGGGAGGCAGCAGUGGGGAAUUUUGGACAAUGGGCGCAAGCCUGAUCCAGCAAUGCCGCGUGCGGGAAGAAGGCCUUCGGGUUGUAAACCGCUUUUGGCAGGAACGAAACGGUGUCCGCUAAUACCGGGCGCUAAUGACGGUACCUGCAGAAUAAGCACCGGCUAACUACGUG
Molecule: ribosomal RNA, 491 nt
Filed under: uncultured bacterium
Lineage: Bacteria
Description: partial 16S ribosomal RNA
Rfam family: Bacterial small subunit ribosomal RNA
Source: RNAcentral